RNAcentral lists this unclassified non-coding RNA (361 nucleotides) under uncultured fungus. RNAcentral describes it as "sequence contains ITS1". The stretch from base 1 to 106 matches the Rfam family "5.8S ribosomal RNA", at positions 50 to 154 of the family's 154-position model. Lineage: Eukaryota; Fungi. The record is from RNAcentral.
AAAAUGCGAAAAGUAUUGUGACAUGCAAUCUUCGUGAAUCAUCCAAUUUUUGAACGCACCUUGCACUGACCGGCCUGUGUCUGUCAGUAUACUUGUUUGAGCAUCGACCCCCGUCUGUCAGCCUCUCUCCGUAGGAGAGAUGAGCAGGACAGGAGAUGGAUGUUUGCCGCCUCGCAAGAGGAGGGAGCCGUCUGAAAAGCAGCGCGCACAAGCGCCCGUCCACAUGGGAUAAAAAAUGUCGUGUGGGAGGGAGGCGAGUGCGGGUGGGAGAGAGUCUGGCGAGCCCCAGGGCUCGAUACGACCCUUACCCCAAUCAUAUGUACACGAUCUCAAAUCAAGUAGGAAUACCCGCUGAACUUAA